RNAcentral lists this RNase P RNA (413 nucleotides) under Paenibacillus antarcticus. RNAcentral's name for it is "Bacterial RNase P class A". It matches the Rfam family "Bacterial RNase P class A". From Rfam's summary of the family: Ribonuclease P (RNase P) is a ubiquitous endoribonuclease, found in archaea, bacteria and eukarya as well as chloroplasts and mitochondria. Its best characterised activity is the generation of mature 5'-ends of tRNAs by cleaving the 5'-leader elements of precursor-tRNAs. The record is from Rfam by way of RNAcentral. Lineage: Bacteria; Bacillati; Bacillota; Bacilli; Caryophanales; Paenibacillaceae.
AAAGUUUGACAGACAAUCGCUGGUGAUGCUUAAGGCGUCACGAGAGGAAAGUCCGGGCUCCAUAGGGCAGGGUGCUGGAUAACGUCCAGUCAGCGCGAGUUGAAGGAUAGUGCCACAGAAAUGGACCGCCGAUGGCCGUCACAAGCGGCACAGGCAAGGAUGGAACCGAGGUGUAAGAGACCCCGAGGAACGCUGGUGACUUCGUUCCUGGUAAACCCCACUUGGAGCAAGACCUAAUGGAACGCAGCUUCUCUGUGCAAGGAGAGCAGCCUUAGCCCGAGGCGCGUUUAGGUUGGUCGCUGGAGCCGUUCAGCAAUGUUCGGCCUAGAUAGAUGAUUGUCGUUUGGAGUGGGAGGGUAGUUCCCGUAUGAACCACAAUAGACACAGAACCCGGCUUACGGCAGACUUUCAGA